This 254-nucleotide ribosomal RNA is filed under the name uncultured bacterium. RNAcentral describes it as "partial 16S ribosomal RNA". It matches the Rfam family "Bacterial small subunit ribosomal RNA", at positions 524 to 776 of the family's 1533-position model. The record is from RNAcentral.
UACGGGGGGAGCAAGCGUUGUUCGGAUUUACUGGGCGUAAAGGGCGCGUAGGCGGUCAGCACAAGUCGGUUGUGAAAUCUCCGGGCUUAACUCGGAAAGGUCAACUGAUACUGUGCGACUAGAGUGCGGAAGGGGCAACUGGAAUUCUUGGUGUAGCGGUGAAAUGCGUAGAUAUCAAGAGGAACACCUGCGGCGAAGGCGGGUUGCUGGGCCGACACUGACGCUGAGGCGCGAAAGCCAGGGGAGCGAACGGG